Molecule: ribosomal RNA, 327 nt
Filed under: uncultured eukaryote
Lineage: Eukaryota
Description: partial 18S ribosomal RNA
Rfam family: Eukaryotic small subunit ribosomal RNA
Source: RNAcentral
CCCUUAGAUGUUCUGGGCCGCACACGCGCUACACUGAAGGAGGCAGCGUGUACUCCUGGAUCGAAAGAUUUGGGUAACCCGCGAAUCUCCUUCGUGCUAGGGAUUGAGGUUUGCAAUUAUCCUUCAUGAACGAGGAAUUCCCAGUAAGUGCAGGUCAUAAGCUUGCGCUGACUACGUCCCUGCCCUUUGUACACACCGCCCGUCGCUACUACCGAUUGAAUGAUUUAGUGAGGACUUCGGACUGGGACCGAUGCGGCUUUCGGGCUGCGUCGGUAUUCUGGAAAGAUGUCCAAACUGUAUCAUUUAGAGGAAGCAAAAGUCGUAACA